GAUGAACGCUAGCGGCAGGCUUAAUACAUGCAAGUCGUGGGGCAGCAGGACUGUAGCAAUACAGUUGCUGGCGACCGGCAAACGGGUGCGGAACACGUACGCAACUUACCCUGAACUGGGGGAUAGCCCGGGGAAACCCGGAUUAAUACCCCGUGAUAUAAUGGGGUGGCAUCACUUUAUUAUUAAAGCUCCGGCGGUUCGGGAUGGGCGUGCGGCUGAUUAGGUGGUUGGUUGAGGUAACGGCUCACCAAGCCUACGAGCAGUAACUGGUGUGAGAGCAAGACCAGUCACACGGGCACUGAGACACGGGCUCGACUCCUACGGGAGGCAGCAGUAAGGAAGAUUGGGCAAGGGAGGCAAAUCUGACCCAGCCAUGCCGCGUGGAGGAGGAAGGCCAUCGGGGUUGUAAACUUCUUUUAUAGGGGACGAAACCUGUGUAUUCUUACGCAGUUGACGGUACCAAAGGAAUAAGCACCGGCUAACUCCGUG
RNAcentral lists this ribosomal RNA (489 nucleotides) under uncultured bacterium. RNAcentral's name for it is "partial 16S ribosomal RNA". It matches the Rfam family "Bacterial small subunit ribosomal RNA", at positions 28 to 507 of the family's 1533-position model. The record is from RNAcentral.